Molecule: ribosomal RNA, 163 nt
Filed under: Taraxacum aristum
Lineage: Eukaryota; Viridiplantae; Streptophyta; Magnoliopsida; Asterales; Asteraceae
Description: 5.8S ribosomal RNA
Rfam family: 5.8S ribosomal RNA
About the family: 5.8S ribosomal RNA (5.8S rRNA) is a component of the large subunit of the eukaryotic ribosome.
Source: RNAcentral
AAACGACUCUCGGCAACGGAUAUCUCGGCUCACGCAUCGAUGAAGAACGUAGCAAAAUGCGAUACUUGGUGUGAAUUGCAGAAUCCCGUGAACCAUUGAGUUUUUGAACGCAAGUUGCGCCCGAAGCCAUCCGGUUGAGGGCACGCCUGCCUGGGCGUCACGC